This 373-nucleotide ribosomal RNA is filed under the name uncultured bacterium. RNAcentral's name for it is "bacterial SSU rRNA". It matches the Rfam family "Bacterial small subunit ribosomal RNA", at positions 525 to 896 of the family's 1533-position model. The record is from RNAcentral.
ACAUAGGGUGCAAGCGUUGUCCGGAAUUAUUGGGCGUAAAGAGCUCGUAGGUGGUUCGAUACGUCGGAUGUGAAAAUCAGGGGCUCAACCCCUGACCUGCAUCCGAUACGGUCGAGCUAGAGUUUGGUAGGGGAGACUGGAAUUCCUGGUGUAGCGGUGGAAUGCGCAGAUAUCAGGAGGAACACCGAUGGCGAAGGCAGGUCUCUGGGCCAAUACUGACACUGAGGAGCGAAAGCGUGGGGAGCGAACAGGAUUAGAUACCCUGGUAGUCCACGCCGUAAACGGUGGGCGCUAGUUGUGCGAACCUUCCACGGUUUGUGCGACGCAGCUAACGCAUUAAGCGCCCCGCCUGGGGAGUACGAUCGCAAGAUUA